UACAGAGGGUGCGAGCGUUGUUCGGAAUUAUUGGGCGUAAAGGGCGCGUAGGCGGCGCCACAAGUCACUUGUGAAAACUCUGGGCUCAACUCAGAGCCUGCAAGCGAAACUGUGGUGCUGGAGUAUGGGAGAGGUGCGUGGAAUUCCCGGUGUAGCGGUGAAAUGCGUAGAUAUCUGGAGGAACACCGGUGGCGAAGGCGGCGUUCUGGACUGCAACUGACACUGAUGAACGAAAGCCAGGGGAGCAAACGGG
This 253-nucleotide ribosomal RNA is filed under the name uncultured bacterium. RNAcentral describes it as "partial 16S ribosomal RNA". It matches the Rfam family "Bacterial small subunit ribosomal RNA", at positions 524 to 776 of the family's 1533-position model. The record is from RNAcentral.